RNAcentral lists this long non-coding RNA (673 nucleotides) under Homo sapiens (human). RNAcentral's name for it is "HSALNT0065308". Lineage: Eukaryota; Metazoa; Chordata; Mammalia; Primates; Hominidae. The record is from RNAcentral.
GGGGAAAGCGUGUUGAGAAGGAAAAUACAAAUGAACCGUCAGUGGCUAAACUUUGAGGUACAAUUAGGGGCCAAUUGUCAUCUAUGGUUAUGUGACGUUAUGGGCUAGUUUCAAACUAUUUUUUAACGAAUUUUAAGAGCAACAUGCAAUUAGUUUCCAAUUCUAUUCCAAGAAAUGAAGGAAAAUUGACUUCCCCUUCCCAAGCCGUCACCAAACCAAAGGAUAAAAUAAACUGCUGUGGCUUUGAAUGUAGAGUUGAGUAGAUGCUCUUGAAUGAUUGUUUCCACCUCAUUCUUCAAUGAUAGUUAAUGAGGGCACAGACCACUAAUAAGCAGUGGAAGCAGCUUCUAGGCUAAGCUUAAAUUGGGCCUUCAAAUCUAAUCAAAAUUAGUCACUGCUGAGAAGAAACCAAAUGUGGUGUGUCCAUUCGGAUGUGGAGUUUGGAGAGGCCCUCCUUGUUUUCCAGGCUGUGAGCCAUGGGAAGCGUGUCAACCAUGUCAAACCAAAGGAUCAAGAAAUUGAAGAUUCCGUUCACUUGCCUUGGAGUUUGAGGAGCACCCGGGACAUCUGGGAUUUGCUUCCUCGAAUCUCCAGCUUGCAUGGUCCUCUGAUGAAGAAAGGAGAGAGCAGGAAAAAAAAAAAUGGAAGAGGAGGACAGAGAAAAAAAAUUCAG